GCGGCGGGGAGUCCCUCUUAACAACUACGCCAGAAGCGCAGAACGCCCCUUAGCAACCAACUAGGCCGCAAGAUCCUCGGCCUUUCCCAGCCGCCGCGGCCGCCUCCCCCCACCCUUCCGCCGGGAAGGCCGCGCUUACAGGUCGGUGCCGAGCUGGGUGAAGCCGGAGUUGAGGCAGCCACGGGCUAUGCACCUCCAGAGGAGAUCGCGGCUACUGAGGAAGCGCAGGCGGCGGCAGACUUGGCCCAGGCGGCCCAAGGCCUGCGCGUCCAGCACCUGGCACUCGGGUCCGGAUUCUUCGGAGUUGGGGUUAGUCACAUUGCCUGAUCCACGUGUUCACUAGUAACGUGAAUAAUCGAUGGUGAGUACGGUGAUCGCAGGUAACCAGAGCAUCUGCUCCACCACCUGGAGCGACCCCAGUAGACACUACACCCCUUCCUGCGAAGGGCAACUGCAAGGUGAUUAAUGCUCAUUAAUUAUCCUUAAGCAGUCGGGAGUGCCUGUCACCCACAGAGUGACAGCAGGGGUCAUCUGGUGCUGCACAGCAGUUUUCAACACUCCCAAAUUCCUGGGCCACGUAUCCCCACGUAAGAGCAAACCCUGCUACAGUGGAUUUAAGGCUGGCUUUUCACAGGUACCCUUUGGCACAGUCAGUUCCGCUUUCCACGGCUCCAUAUGACGGUCUGAAAAGUGCUCUCACUUCACACAUUUGGGUACAUAAAUACAAGCACACCCUCCCAAAGAACAGUUCAUAAUAACUGAGUCAUUGUUGCCAUCCACAGGAGCCUGGAGUACUGACAGCGCAGAAGGAUUCUGGUCCAAAAUGGCAAAGUAGCCCUCCACAGAAAGUGGAACAGGAAAAUAUGAGUCUAGUGUUGUGUUGUUCUUUCUUAUAGUACUUUCCACUCUACAAAAGCUUGAAAUGUUGGGGGAAAUUUCUCCCUCAAAAUUAAAAAAAAUAGAUAAAUUAUAAGUUCAUCAUCUGCUUAGAAUGCUUUGAACAGGUAUCACCUACCCACCGCAGUCUGCAUCUGCUUUUGUGCAGUGGAGUAGGAAAAUAAAUCUCAGUAUAUAAUGAGGUUACCAUAGCAUACAGGCCUUUAGACAGUACUUGCAUCCUUUCCAGAAGGUCAUCUUGUCUGUGUAAUCUCAAGCACUCAAAUAUUCAUAAAAAUCACCAACUCUGGAAGCUUCAUGUUUGAGAGAUUCAAAACUGCUGGCUGAGGAGCUGUGGUCCAUUUGCACUGAGUUUCAAUACACCCUGGAAAUCAGGGAAGUUCCAGAAGGCAGCAAAUGCUCUAUCACCAUUUAUGAUGAAUGAAUCAGAUGGCCUAAGUAAUUAAAAAUUUCUCAACCUAAAUUUGAGCUCAGGUGAAGCAACAGCACAUCUGGUACAGGACUUAAGUAGCCAACUGGAAGAGAGGCAAUAUAACAAAUUUUGCUUAACAUGAGAUUAUGGAAACUUGGUAUGAAUGCAGUUUUAUAUUAACUUAAUAUCUUUUUGAUGACAUUAAACUCUUUUGUAAUAGACUUCA
Molecule: long non-coding RNA, 1535 nt
Organism: Melopsittacus undulatus (budgerigar)
Lineage: Eukaryota; Metazoa; Chordata; Aves; Psittaciformes; Psittaculidae
Exons: 2
Source: RefSeq, a predicted model, not a curated record